Molecule: ribosomal RNA, 775 nt
Filed under: uncultured marine eukaryote
Lineage: Eukaryota
Description: SSU rRNA
Rfam family: Eukaryotic small subunit ribosomal RNA
Source: RNAcentral
GAGCUAAUACAUGCUAACACGCUCGACUUCUGGAAGGGAUGUAUUUAUUAGAUUAAAGCCAAUGCGUUUCACGACGCUUCUUGGUGAUUCAUAAUAACUGUUCGAAUCGCAUGGCCUCGAGCCGGCGAUGUUUCAUUCGAGUUUCUGCCCUAUCAACUUUCGAUGGUAAGGUAUUGGCUUACCAUGGUGACAACGAGUAACGGAGAAUUAGGGUUCGAUUCCGGAGAGGGAGCCUGAGAAACGGCUACCACAUCUAAGGAAGGCAGCAGGCUCGAAAAUUACCCAAUCCCAAUUCGGGGAGGUAGUGACAAGAAAUAACGAUACGGGGUCUUAAUAGGUCUCGCAAUUGGAAUGAGUACAAUUUAAAUCCUUUAACGAGGAUCAAUUGGAGGGCAAGUCUGGUGCCAGCAGCCGCGGUAAUUCCAGCUCCAAUAGCGUAUAUUAAAGUUGUUGCAGUUAUAAAGCUCGUAGUUGGAUUUCGGAGUGGGCCAGUUGGUCCGCCGCAAGGUGUGUUACUGACUGGUUUGCUCUUCUUCGCAAAGACUGCGUGUGCUCUUUGUUGAGUGUGCGUAGGAUUUACGACGUUUACUUUGAAAAAAUUAGAGUGUUCAAAGCAGGCUAUUGCUUGAAUACAUGAGCAUGGAAUAAUGGAAUAGGACUUUGGUCCCAUUUUGUUGGUUUCUAGGACCGAAGUAAUGAUUAAGAGGGACAAUUGGGGGCAUCCGUAUUUCGUUGUCAGAGGUGAAAUUCUUGGAUUUACGAAAGACAAACUACA